UCCAGACUCCUACGGGAGGCAGCAGUGGGGAAUAUUGCACAAUGGGGGAAACCCUGAUGCAGCGACGCCGCGUGAGCGAUGAAGUAUUUCGGUAUGUAAAGCUCUAUCAGCAGGGAAGAAAAUGACGGUACCUGACUAAGAAGCCCCGGCUAACUACGUGCCAGCAGCCGCGGUAAUACGUAGGUGGCAAGCGUUAUCCGGAAUGAUUGGGCGUAAAGGGUGCGCAGGCGGAACCAUAAGUCUGAAGUAAAAGCCAUCGGCUCAACCGAUGUAAGCUUUGGAAACUGUGGAUCUGGAGUGCAGGAGAGGACAGUGGAAUUCCAUGUGUAGCGGUAAAAUGCGUAGAUAUAUGGAGGAACACCAGUGGCGAAGGCGGCUGUCUGGCCUGUAACUGACGCUGAGGCACGAAAGCGUGGGGAGCAAAUAGGAUUAGAUACCCUGGUA
Molecule: ribosomal RNA, 444 nt
Filed under: uncultured bacterium
Lineage: Bacteria
Description: partial 16S ribosomal RNA
Rfam family: Bacterial small subunit ribosomal RNA
Source: RNAcentral